Non-coding RNA from Punica granatum (pomegranate), 1720 nucleotides. NCBI's taxonomy places the organism in Eukaryota, Viridiplantae, Streptophyta, Magnoliopsida, Myrtales, Lythraceae. The record is from RefSeq and is a predicted model, not a curated record.
UGAAGCUCCACAUUGUCCUGGCAUACGCGCCAAGCGAGGCGAAUCGGAUCGGAGAGUGCCAGCCCGCCGGAGAAGUCGGACCGGAUUCGCCGCUCCUCCUGGCAGUGGCACUCGAAGGCUCCUUCAGCUGUCCUCCAUUGUUACUGCUGAGUUAUUUGAAGUGCUUGGGAAAGUUAAGGAGCUCCACCGAUCCACUUUCCCACGUUCAAGUCUGAAGAAUCUUCAGCUCAGACGUUCACCACUUCUUUCUCUUCCUUCGAUCUCUGAUCAGCAAUUCAACUUUUGCGCGCCAGUAUCGGCUCGGCUAUUACCCAAUUGAAGUGAAAGAGGUUUCGAUGGACAAAGUGGUGGAGGCCGUUGAGGAGGUGAAGAAGGAGUGGGGCGAGGCGUACUGUAAAACCCAGGAGCACAUAAAGGCUAUUGGGGAGUAUGGGAAGUCGAGGGAGGAGAAGAGCUCGCUCCCGAGGUUGAAUGGCCUUGUGCAGGACGGUUUGGCCCUUCUAAACUCACUGCAGUUCAAGCUUGACCUCCUCGCGCCACAGUUGCCCUCCGAGGAGGAUGUCGAGUCCGCCAAGUCUUUGCUUGAAUCAUGGAAGAACCACUACCAAACUCUGCGAGUUAACUUGCGGAAUGCCAAUUUACAAGCAAAGGCCAACAUGAGGAAAGCCGCUCAAGAAGAGAGAGAACUUCUUCUUGGUGGAGGAGGAGAAUCCACAGCUCGGAGGCGCAAUUUGCAGACAAAAGCUGGAAUGACAUCAGCUGCGGAAAGUAUCACGGAGAGUCUUCGUCGCACGCGUCAACUGAUGGUCCAGGAGGUGGAAAGAAGUGCUGCCACACUCAUGACUUUCGGUUCGCAGAUGAAUCAACAGGAGUUUUGAAAAAGGCUGAGAGUGAGUACAAGGGCCAACGGUCUCUGUUAAUGCGAACUCGGAACCUCCUCUCUACCAUGCAACGUCAAGAUGUCAUUGACAGGAUCAUACUAGUUGUUGGAUUUAUAUUAUUCUUCUCUGCGGUACUUUAUGUUGUUUCAAAGCGCAUCGGGAUCCUCACCCUGCAGAGGAAGGUCACUGCAGCCCUGAAGGCUUCUAUGGCGGGACAAGCCAAAAUUCUAAAUGAAGUGAACCGAGAUGGGGCUGACUUUCAUCGAGGAGUUGAUAGGAAUGUAGAGCUUCCCAAUGGAGGACACAUGCAUGAUGAACUUUGAGAUUCAUUAGGUUAAUCUGUAAAAGAUACAUUUUCAUAAACAAGAGAAACAACAUCUUCUAGAGCACCAGAAAGUCCACAUUGUCUUAGCUCCACAUUCUUCUUUAUCAGCAAUCACGAGCCAGUUGAUUGGACGAGCCUCCUAGCCUGAAGGAUCAACCGGUCUCCUCUUCCUUUUAUCUUGGGUGAAGAAGCCGAGUCGAGUGAGCAGGCAUCAAAUGGAAGGGUCAAAGUUCCUUUAACCUAAUUGUGGAGGGCAAACCAGAAGUUCCUGCAGUGCUUUAUCAAAUACUCCGGCAUGUUUGUGGGCAUGUUCGUGGUGUGAACCCUAGCUCUCAAUGCUGUUAGUGCAAGAGUUUACUCUCGACAAGAAUCAACUUGUAAUUACUUAUAGAUUCCUGCAGGAGUUUUUGUGCACCUGCGGAUUUCCUUGUUGAAACUUGGCAAUGUCGUGAAUCCUGCAUAGUGAAAGUCGGCCAUUGAAGUUUGCACAUUAAUCAAUUGUCUUGGUUAGCAA